Molecule: ribosomal RNA, 159 nt
Filed under: uncultured bacterium
Lineage: Bacteria
Description: partial 16S ribosomal RNA
Rfam family: Bacterial small subunit ribosomal RNA
Source: RNAcentral
GGGGUCAAAGGAGGCGACUCCGGCAUAGGAUGGCCAUGCGUCGCAUUAGCUAGUCGGCGGGGUAACGGCCCACCGAGGCGACGAUGCGUAGGGGUUCUGAGAGGAAGGUCCCCCACACUGGUACUGAGACACGGACCAGACUCCUACGGGAGGCAGCAG